RNAcentral lists this ribosomal RNA (680 nucleotides) under Frondihabitans sp. RNAcentral's name for it is "bacterial SSU rRNA". It matches the Rfam family "Bacterial small subunit ribosomal RNA", at positions 744 to 1424 of the family's 1533-position model. The record is from RNAcentral. Lineage: Bacteria; Bacillati; Actinomycetota; Actinomycetes; Micrococcales; Microbacteriaceae.
CGUUGAGGAGCGAAAGCAUGGGAGCGAACAGGAUUAGAUACCCCGGUAGUCCACGCCGUAAACGUUGGGAACUAGAUGUAGGGGCCAUUUCACGGUUUUUGUGUCGCAGCUAACGCAUUAAGUUCCCCCCCUGGGGAGUACGGCCGCAAGGCUAAAACUCAAAGGAAUUGACGGGGGCCCGCACAAGCGGCGGAGCAUGCGGAUUAAUUCGAUGCAACGCGAAGAACCUUACCAAGGCUUGACAUAUACCGGAAACGUCCAGAGAUGGUCGCCCCGCAAGGUCGGUAUACAGGUGGUGCAUGGUUGUCGUCAGCUCGUGUCGUGAGAUGUUGGGUUAAGUCCCGCAACGAGCGCAACCCUCGUUCUAUGUUGCCAGCACGUUAUGGUGGGAACUCAUAGGAGACUGCCGGGGUCAACUCGGAGGAAGGUGGGGAUGACGUCAAAUCAUCAUGCCCCUUAUGUCUUGGGCUUCACGCAUGCUACAAUGGCCGAUACAAAGGGCUGCAAUACCGUAAGGUGGAGCGAAUCCCAAAAAGUCGGUCUCAGUUCGGAUUGAGGUCUGCAACUCGACCUCAUGAAGUCGGAGUCGCUAGUAAUCGCAGAUCAGCAACGCUGCGGUGAAUACGUUCCCGGGCCUUGUACACACCGCCCGUCAAGUCAUGAAAGUCGGUAACACCCGA